GAAAUGCGAUAAGUAAUGUGAAUUGCAGAAUUCAGUGAAUCAUCGAAUCUUUGAACGCACCUUGCGCUCCUUGGUAUUCCUUGGAGCAUGCCUGUUUGAGUAUCAUGAAAUCUUCAUAGUAAAUCUUUUGUUAACUCAAUUGGUUUCUACUUUGGUAUUGGAGGUCUUUGCAGCUUCACACCUGCUCCUCUUUGUUCAUUAGCUGGAUCUCAGUGUUAUGCUUGGUUCCACUCGGCGUGAUAAGUUAUCUAUCGCUGAGGACACUGUAAAAGGUGGCCAAGGUAAAUGCAGAUGAACCGCUUCUAAUAGUCCAUUGACUUGGACAAUACUUUUAUGAUCUGAUCUCAAAUCAGGUAGGACUACCCGCUGAACUUAGGC
Molecule: unclassified non-coding RNA, 378 nt
Filed under: plant metagenome
Description: partial contains 5.8S ribosomal RNA, internal transcribed spacer 2, and large subunit ribosomal RNA
Rfam family: 5.8S ribosomal RNA (bases 1-105)
Source: RNAcentral